This 497-nucleotide ribosomal RNA is filed under the name uncultured bacterium. Its description in RNAcentral is "partial 16S ribosomal RNA". It matches the Rfam family "Bacterial small subunit ribosomal RNA", at positions 28 to 507 of the family's 1533-position model. The record is from RNAcentral.
GAUGAACGCUGGCGGCGUGCCUAAUACAUGCAAGUCGAGCGAACGGACGAGAAGCUUGCUUCUCUGACGUUAGCGGCGGACGGGUGAGUAACACGUGGAUAACCUCCCUAUAAGACUGGGAUAACUUCGGGAAACCGGCGCUUAUCCCGGAUAAUAUUUUGCUCCGCAUGGUUCGAUAGUGAAAGACGGUCUUGCUGUCACUACUAGCUGGUUCCGCGCUGCAUUAGCUAGUUGGUAAGGUAACGGCUUACCACGGCAACGAUGCAUAGCCGACCGGCGAGAGGGAUAGGCGACACGGGAACGGAGACACGGACCAGACUCCUACGGGAGGCAGCAGUAGGGAAUCGGCCGCAAUGGGCGAAAGCCUGACGGAGCAACGCCGCGUGAGUUAUGAAGGUCUUCGGAGCGGAAAACUCUGUUAUUAGGGAAGAACAGAUGUGUAAGUAACUGUGCACAUCGUGACGGUACCUAAUCAGAAAGCCACGGCUAACUACGUG